This 215-nucleotide ribosomal RNA is filed under the name Campeiostachys nutans. Its description in RNAcentral is "Elymus nutans partial small subunit ribosomal RNA". The stretch from base 43 to 215 matches the Rfam family "Eukaryotic small subunit ribosomal RNA", at positions 690 to 864 of the family's 1831-position model. Lineage: Eukaryota; Viridiplantae; Streptophyta; Magnoliopsida; Poales; Poaceae. The record is from RNAcentral.
GGAUCAGUUGGUCGGUCGUGCCUCGGUACGCACUGGUCAAAUUGAUUCCUAUCUUCUGACGAACCACGAUGUCAUUAAUUUGGUGUCUUGGGGAAUCAGGACUGUUACUUUGAAAAAAUUAGAGUGUUUAAAGCAGGCUUUAGCUUGAAUACAUUAGCAUGGAAUAAUGAAAUAGGACGUUUGAUCCUAUUUUGUUGGUUUCUAGGAUUGACGUA